Long non-coding RNA from Marmota monax (woodchuck), 2178 nucleotides. RefSeq lists it as uncharacterized. NCBI's taxonomy places the organism in Eukaryota, Metazoa, Chordata, Mammalia, Rodentia, Sciuridae. The transcript is spliced from 3 exons. The record is from RefSeq and is a predicted model, not a curated record.
UUCUUCUAAAAGUUUUAUAGUUUUUGCUCUUACAUUUAGGUCCUUGGCCUAUUUCCAGUUAGUUCCAAUAUGACUGUAUCUGGAGACAGGGUCUUUAGGAAGUAAUUAAAGCUAAGUGAGGUUAUAAAGUAGGGGCCCUAAUCAGAUCUGUUAGUCUUUUAAGAAGGGGAAACUCUUGGGGCUGGGUUGUGGCUCAGUGGUAGACCUCUAGCCUAGCACAUGCGAGGCCCUGGGUUCGAUCCUCAGCACCAUGUAAAUAAAAUAAAGACAUUGUGUCCAACUACAACUAAAAAGUAAAUAUUAAAAAAAGAAGGGGAAACUCUCACUGUCUUUCCAACCCCAGCCAAGUGAGGACAGCAAAAGGGUGGCCAUCUGCAAGCCAGGCGAGGGACCCUUACCAGAACCGCGCUUGCUGACAUCCUGAUCUUGGACUUCAGACACCAGACUCCAGAACUGCCCAUGGCCAAAUUUAAUUUUGGCUCCAAACCAACAUUGAAAGACAGAGAGAGGGACAUAAGGGGAAAGCAACAACAAAAAAAAAACCCUUUUGCUACCUGAAGCACACAAUGGAUUCAUUGAUCGGAGAACAAGAGCUCAAGUUAUGCAGCCAGCAGGACCUGAAAGUCAGACCUGGCUAAGCCCCUGAUGCAGCCUGUGGCUUGGGAAGAUCCAGAAGUCUUAACAAGGUUACCCAAGAAAAAUGGGGACAAGAAGAGUGAUCCUGCGUAUGGCCACAUGCUUCAGUUUCUACCCUUCAGCAAUGGAGGAUACCAUUGUCAACUCUCUGGAGAUGUGGAGAGGAACAAGUUUGCCUCUGCCCGCUUCUCUACUCUUUGGGUCGGAUAGAGGACCAAGAACUGGCACCAGCAAGGCUAACAGGUCCGUGCAUGCUCCACCCAGUAAUGAGGCCAGGUGUCCCCAAUCAGAGAGACAAUUCUAAGGCAGAAUUUCCUUUACACAUUCAAAAUUGAGGAAAAAUCUGCCCAGACUAUUUAUCCAGUGCACUAGUGACAAAGAAAUGCUCCAGAUUUUGAGAUGCUACAUGCGUUGGCAUCAUCAAAGAAGGAACAUGAGGAGACGGAUAGAAGUCUGAUGGAUUAUCUCUCUCCUCUUUAUGGUGGAGAACUCCUAGCCACAAUUGUCCUUGCUUAGCUAUAUUCCUACAUUCCUGGAAUCCACUGUGGCAUGGGGUCAUAGACUACUGCUAUUAGAACCUCCUGCUUGGUAGGAGAUCUGGUUUCUUCCCCCACCACCUCUGCUUCUCUUUUAUGAAAUUAUAUAUGAUUAGAUGUUAGAUUCAACUCUUUCUAUUGUUUAGGAGAUGGACAGAGUCCUAAAGUCAGAUCCUAUUAAAAUAGAUGCUAAGUAACACCACAUUAUAAGAGAAUAGGAUAUUGAACUACUGUUAAAGACAUGUUAGAAAUGAUAAAACCAAGCCUGCUAGCAUUCAUAGUCAUCUACUUUCAAUCUUUAAAAAUAGAGAGGGAAGGAGAACGAGUUGCAGUAGGCUUGAGCUGCAGUUUCUUAGACAGAGGGGAGGAAAAGGCUCGUCUUUUUGUGGAUACCAGAUAUGAGCCUGUGGGAGGGGAACCAGCCUGGAGUCUUCUUGAAGGAACUCUGUCCCUGAAGAUGCCCUGGAGGGAGUAGACCACCAGGAGCUGACAGAUCUGGGGGAAACUGAAAUUCGGCCAUCCAGAAGGAAGCCUCAUCCAUGAUAAGUAGGAUGACUAUAACUUUUCUCCAAAAUGGGGAUACUUUUAAGAAAGAAAAGAGAUUCCACUGACACAUCUGCUGAAGCAACAGACUUCAACUGGAACUGUCCCAACAAACAGGACAUAGAGUCAGCCUCAUGUUAAGGAGACUGAAUUGGAAGUUCCCAUAGCAACCUGCAACUUCCUCCCACCAGGGGCCAGUUUUGCAUCCCUUUUGGUCUCAGAGAGCAUCCUGAUAUCAUCCUAGUUUGAACUGACUGACUGGGUGGUAACUGUAGGCAGGUAGGGUGUGGCUGGAAGAGGUGGGUCACUAGGGGUGUGCUCUGGAAAGGUUGUACUUCCUGUGGGGGGAAGCCCCCUGCUUCCUUGCUGCCUCGAGGGGAGCAGCUUCUGCCUCCUCUUGGGCCCAGACAAUGGAGUGGGCCAUUUAUGGACUGAGACCUCAAAUAAACUUUUCCUCUUCUAA